RNAcentral lists this long non-coding RNA (343 nucleotides) under Manihot esculenta (cassava). RNAcentral describes it as "long non-coding RNA (MESC_LNC012078)". The record is from RNAcentral. Lineage: Eukaryota; Viridiplantae; Streptophyta; Magnoliopsida; Malpighiales; Euphorbiaceae.
AAACGUUCGCUAAUCAAACACUAAUCAACAAGUUGCCAAGGAACGUCCUUGGGGCAUUGUAGCAUCGAACAACUGUUGACUGCAUUAAGACUUAGAGAAACCCAAUUCUAUCCUUGCCAACCGCGUGGUCAAGUUUAGAUUAUGCAAUUUGAUUAAAUGUGUAUUUGAACAACCUAAGCAAUUACGGACCUAAAUCAUUCAAACAGUAUUACUUAAGCAAUUUAAAAGCAAUGGGCCCUUAUUGAUUCUAAAAGCAAAGUAAUAAUUAUGGAAAGCUCAAAUUGCAUAAAUAUUGAAAAUAAAUAGAAGUUUAACAAUGGAGAUUUAAAUCUCCCAAUUCAUC